Poecilia latipinna (sailfin molly) is the source of this 171-nucleotide long non-coding RNA. RefSeq lists it as uncharacterized. The transcript is spliced from 3 exons. The record is from RefSeq and is a predicted model, not a curated record. Lineage: Eukaryota; Metazoa; Chordata; Actinopteri; Cyprinodontiformes; Poeciliidae.
UUUAAAUCCAAAUAAUCUACUGGUGGCCACGCCCACUAACUCAAUGUUUGCACUCGCACAUGAAAAUGUCUGCAAAGAGAUGCACGGUUAUACAACUGUGCAUCUUGGAAAAGCAGAAGUGGAGCCUCCUGUACAACCAACAAGAAUGCAGCAAUAAAAAAUUCAUCUUUU